This 175-nucleotide unclassified non-coding RNA is filed under the name Rhizophagus sp. (in: glomeromycetes). Its description in RNAcentral is "Rhizophagus sp. (in: Fungi) partial internal transcribed spacer region". The stretch from base 1 to 46 matches the Rfam family "Eukaryotic small subunit ribosomal RNA", at positions 1786 to 1831 of the family's 1831-position model. Lineage: Eukaryota; Fungi; Glomeromycota; Glomeromycetes; Glomerales; Glomeraceae. The record is from RNAcentral.
AAGUCGUAACAAGGUUUCCGUAGGUGAACCUGCGGAAGGAUCAUUACUGAUUUUAGCGAACCUGACUUUUUGGUCAUGGUCUCGCGAAAACUUUGUAUUUAAAACCCCACUCUUAUAAAUUAAAUCAUAUUAUAAUAUAUAAAGAUCACUUUCAACAACGGAUCUCUUGGCUCUC